CCACCUGAACCAGUGAGAAGACACUUAGCAUCACCAGUGAUGGGACAAACUGCUAUCACGCGCCCCUGAAGUGAUGCACUGGGGAGGACACAGCAUCACCUCCAUGGAAUUCCCGCCCCGAAUGCCCAGUCUGAAUCUGAUCAUGAGGGAAUGGUCAGAAGAAUAAAAGGACUGUGAUUGGUCUGCUGAGAAGGAAGAUGAGUGUGAAGAUGGAUACUGGAGAAGUGCAGAGAGAGGAUGAAUGGUUCCAGCUGACAAAGGCAGAGUGACAUAUUAUGACGCAGAGGAGGAAUCGUGAUGGUCCCUGUCAACCGUGGUGGUUCCAUUCUCCUUGCCAGUGACUGGUGUACGCGUUAGCUUGCAGCCCAGUCCUGGCUGAUGAGACCUGAGGAGGGCUGAAGAUAUGUCUGCACAGGUCACCUAGAACAUCUCUGGCCAUUUUGUGACCACUAGGGGAGGCGUUCCCAACUUCUGAGGGUGGCAGAACAGAACAAUGGAGAGAAAGCACCUAGGUCCAUCCUGAGUCCCUGAAUUAACUAUCUUUGGAACUGACCUAUAUUAGCCUUCUCAUUAACAUGAGAAAUUAAAGCCCUUGCUGUUUAGCCACAUGGGUCUUUCAUUUGCAGCCCAAAGUAUCUGAAUGGAUAUAAUUGUCUCUCCCAUAUAGAAAUAUGGGCUCAUAUGUCCAAGCGGGCAACAUACAAGUAUUUUAUUAUAGCAUUGCAUGUAAUAAUGAGACUUGAAUGUGCUUUGGUAGGGACCCAGGGAAACACGCUGUGUUUCAGUAAUACUACUGAAUUCUAGGCAGCCAUUAAAAGCAAUAAGGUAAAUUUUUAUGCACUGAUUCCACCAUGCAAAGAUCUCCAGGACAUAUUAAGUUUUAUGAAGUUGUGAAAUCAUACAUGUGGUAGAACCCCAUUUAUGACAAACAAAAUAAUCCUCAAAAUAAAGUAUGUGUAAAGAUUCAUAUAUAUACACAAUCAUACCCACAGAGACAGGGUGUGGGAGGAGCCACAUCAUACUCUUAAAAGUAUUUACCUCCAGAGACAGGAGAUGCAUAGGAAGUGAGAGACAAAAGAGACUUUGUUUUUUUAUAUAGAGCAGCAACACCAAUGGAUUUCAUUUAUGACUUCUGUCAUUAAAAAUAAUGUAUAGGAAACAUUCCACAUGCUCAUUACAGAAAAAUCUAGCAAAUGCUAGAAUGUAAAGAUGUAAGUUUUGUUCAAACCUUGCAAGGCAGAGGUCUUUUUUUUUUUUUAAAACCAUUAUGUCAGGUUUCCUGGGAACAAAGAGAAACUUCUCCUCAGGUCUUCAAAUGUUUUUUCUUGUGUGUAGCACAAUUACCUGGGCAGAGUUCAGUGUUUUUAAUCAAAAGCUACUUGUCUAGUAGGCAAUGUCACUAUUCCCAGCCUGCAUAAACAAAGCUUUGUGGGAAAUGGGUUUGGAAAGUGGAAGAGCUGCAUCAUUUGAAUUGGAGUGUGUGUUUGUGUGUGUGUGCGUGUGUGUGUGUGAGAGAGAGAGAGAGAGAAAAGAGGAGGGAGAGAAGGAAAGAGAAAGGAGGAGGAUAGGGUGCUCUGUAUAUGAUUCUGGAGAAUUCUCCAAGGAAAUAUCACCCCCUUUGUCUCCCAGCAUCAGCUUUUCUCUCCCAACUACUUGGCAUCAUACAAAUUUGACCUUCCAGAGGGGAGAGGCUUCCUGCGAUACUCGGACAGUAAUGACAGAGUUGUAGGCACGGGCUAUAUCAUAAUUGCCUUCCGGCUGUCUCCUGCAUUUGCCUGGCUCUGAUUUCUGGGUUGGGUACCAUUACUCUCAAGGUUCCUGUCAUGUGGCCAUUAAAUCAUUGUUUCCUCUGACAGUGCCAUUUCUGCAAAACCCUGGAGGAAGAAAACAGCCCCGUCUCCAGGACUGGAAUGCUGCCGCCUGGUCAUUAUGCCCAACAGCCCUUGAACGGCUGCUCCGGAAGACGCGUGGCUUUGUUGCCACCACACAAUGCCUCCCCAGACUAAAUGGCUCUGUUGCGCCAUGCUUUUUCAGAGCGCAAUUAUCCUGGCGAGGGAGCACAGAGUAGCACUAAUUUAGAAGAGGUCUGGUCCAGCAAACGGGGGUAAAGAAAAGAAUGGCAGAAGAAAUCAAGAAGGAUACUUCUCUAAGGGUAUUACUCAUUUUUUUUCCCCCCUAGAGAGAGAGAAAAGCAAAAUUUUUCAGACAGGGUCUAAUUUUCUUCUGAAAUAGAUGGCUGAGAAUGGGGAGAUUUGGGGUCUGCUGAACAUGGAAAGAUGAGGUGGGAGGGAUAGUUCUGGUGGCCAAUUUCCAGCCGCUGAGCUGUAGCUGAAUAGAGGAUGCUGGCGAGCCUUUGACAAAGCACCAAGAAACCAAGGGCCUGCCCCACUUUUGGGAUCAGAGUUCAUUCAUUCAACAAAUACUGGUGGUUGCUGUGUGCUGGGCACUCUUCUAGGUGCUGGGGAUGCAGCCAUGAAUCAGGCAAAGUCGCUGUAUCCUAACUGGGCUCCUCGUAGGAAAAAGAUGGCGCACUCAGAUUGGGAAAUUGAGGAUAGCUGAAUAAAGGGACUGUUUACAAAGGCUUGGGCAGGUUGUAAAGAAAUCUACAAGGGACAGGGCGGCACGCCGGGGCCAGCACCAGCCAUCCUUCAGCCUGGGAAGGGACAAAGCGAGGGAGCAGUGACCAGAACCCAAGAGGGUAGCUGUAUGGAGAUACGGGACAGGAGCUGCAGCCCUUGGUCACAACCCAUCACAUCAAUAUGGCAGAAAGAGACAGGGAACAAAUACUUGGACUUCUCUCUCCUCCUUCCCUUUGGUCUAGCGUUGCCUCCUAUUGGCUGAAUCUGACCUGAAGCCCGAGAGCAAGGGGGCUCCUGGACGCAGGACAUGCAGGUCCUCCUCCCUGGGCACAGAGCAGGGGGGAGAAGGGCGGCUAGAGGACCUGGAGAAGCAAGGGGGAUGUUUCCAGCACACUCCCUGCCCUCAUGGAGCUUACAUUCUACUUGGCGGAGACAGACAAUAAACACAUAAGCCAUUAGCUCUCAGAUAUAAUGUUGCCAGGACCUCCUCUGAUCCAAGCAGUACCUCUGUGCAAAUUACAAAAAGCCACCCUCUCUCCAAAUGCAUGCAGCUCCGUCCCAGGGCACAUGGUUAAUGAAUGCAGCACAGGCUGGAUAUCACCCCCCCAUCUGCCUUUUGGGUCAGGGUUUUGGACUCAAGCCCCAAAAUAUGAUCUCCGUGACUGUCAACUAGUCACGGUGUCAUAAAUUAAAAAAUCAGGGGCCAGCCUUGUGGCGCAGUGGUUAAAUGUGCAUGUUCCACUUCCACAGCCAGGGG
Equus caballus (horse) is the source of this 3336-nucleotide long non-coding RNA. RefSeq lists it as uncharacterized. NCBI's taxonomy places the organism in Eukaryota, Metazoa, Chordata, Mammalia, Perissodactyla, Equidae. The record is from RefSeq and is a predicted model, not a curated record.